AGUUAGCCAUUGUUAGCAGCUAACUAGCGUUACCUAAAAAACGUCUAUCAACCAAGUCCUGACUCCAACGCGAAUUAAAGACUACGUGUGCUGCAGGUGGAUCAGCACAAGAUUCAGCCCCCUGAACAGCUUUCACAAGCGCUGCAGAGGUUGGUGUGUGGGGGAGGCGCUCCCUUCUUUGAAUGUGUGGGGUUACAAGUGCCUUGCCCAGCUGCUCCAGGAACACCCUCCUCUUGUUCUGCUUAUCAGGCAUCCAGCCCAUAGUUGAGGUCGCUGUCCCAUCCACUGACCUCCACUAUCUCGCCUCUGGUCCUGGCCUGCUCAGUGAUGUUGUCCCCUGGGCCCUUGGUUGCAGCAGUCUGGGUCUGGGAAUCCAAGAUGGCCACCCAGUCUCCUCUGUUAUCCUCCAACCAAUCACCUGCAGGAAAAGCAGAUCAGGCUUCCCAUCCUCCAUGUCUACUUCCUGUAAGAGAUACAGAGUGAGAGGAUGUUGGAUCAAGAAAUCUGAUAUGAGCACCCUGCUAUGGAGCAUCUUCUGAUUGGGCAAUGAGGGAUUGCUAUUGUGGGUUUUUUAUAAGGUUUUUGACAUGCUUAACUAACUAUAAGCUAGUAGGGCUUCUUAUGCAUUAAAGUUUGAAUUGCUGACUCUUGUGAACCUGCAUUUUCCAUUGUUCUCACUUUUACCAGUGCUCAGGGCCUAACCAUGAAUAUCAGCCUGAAAUGUGUGUGUGUUAAAGAGAGCGCUGUACUGUGUGAAAUAUGUGUGUGUAUGCAACAAAUGUAUCAGUAGUGUGGGCGCUGUACUAUGUGGCCGAGACUGUGCUAAUCUUAGAGAGACACAGGAGGGGGAUGAAUCAGGAGACUGCUGACCAGACAAUAACUAAUAAACUAUACACACGAAAAACAUAUGUGAGGUUCUGAGUUAUGCACUAUAACCCAAUACUAUAACAAACGUGAUUAGCAACUGUAUUAUAUGUGAUUGAAUACUAUAACAAACGUGAUUGGAUAUUGAUAACCUGUUGGCCUGGGUGCCUGGAUGUCUGUGUGUGUGUGCUGGAAGUAACAGUUAGCUCAGAUAAGAAGCUGGGAAGCUGUAGUUAGCCUUGAGCGAGAACAGUGGACAAUGUAUACAGGUGCAGAUAUCUCAGACAAUGUUAUAAAACUGUCUGACCCCAGUCUCUGGGGUGAAGGAGCGUAAUCUACACAGCAACAGUGAAAGGACACCAGAAAGCGCAAAGAAGCUGGGACCAGCUUGUGUGCCAACAUCAACGAUAGGCUGGGUAAGUCUAAACCACGCCCAGUCUCUACUCUGACAGGCCGGCUCGGAAGUGGGAACUAACCUCUGUCACGAGUAUAAUAUAAUAUCUUUGUCAGAAACAAGUCAGUUCUCUGUCUUAUCCUGCGUGAUGAAACAUUGAACCCGUAUAUACGGAAAUUGUAUUUGCCAUUUAUAAACUUUUGAAUUAAGCAAUUAUUUUAACCAAGUUCAGGUGUAAUAUUGUUCCUAUCUCAGUUGAACUUUCGCAACCCUAACAAUAUGAGUACAAUGCAAACAUGUUAGGUGAUUUGAAAUGAUGCAAACAUGUUAGUUGAUUUGCUUACUUGACACUCUUUAAAAGGAUAGUUCCGGAUUUUGGGAAUGAAGCCCUUAUCUCCUCCCCCAGAGUCAGAUUAAAUGCUGUAUACCAUUAUUAUGUCUCUGCAUCCAGUAUGCAGGCAGUUAGAGGUAAUUUGGAGAGCCCAUGCUAACUAGCUUAGUGCAAAGAAUGGAAGUCUUCGGGUACACCUAGUAUGCUAGCUGUACCCAAAUACUUCCAGUGUUUACGGUGAGCUAGUUAGCACUGGCUUGAAAAGUUACCUCGAACUUCCUACAUACAGAGACGUAAAAUGGUUUCCACAACUUCAUCGGUCUCUGGGGAAGAAGAUAAAGAGCUUAAUUACCAAAAUCCCAAGCAAACCCUUUAAUGGUUUAAUAAUUCAAAGUCAUGGUCCCAGACUUAAUGGUCCAAUGCACCUGUUUUUAUCUCAAUAUAAAAUCAUUUCUGGGUAACAAUUAAA
Salvelinus fontinalis (brook trout) is the source of this 2058-nucleotide long non-coding RNA. RefSeq lists it as uncharacterized. The transcript is spliced from 4 exons. NCBI's taxonomy places the organism in Eukaryota, Metazoa, Chordata, Actinopteri, Salmoniformes, Salmonidae. The record is from RefSeq and is a predicted model, not a curated record.